ACGUUAGGGUCCCGAGAAGGGAUAACCCCACCACUGGAACUGCGACACGGUCCAGGACUCUUACGGGAGGCAGCAGUUGGAAUUUUGGACAUCAUGGGGCGUAAGCCUGAUCCAGCGACGCCGCGUGGACGAUGAAGGCCUUCGGGUCGUAAAGUACUUUGGGACGGGAACAAUAUUUUGAGCGUACCGAGAAGAAUAAGAGGUUGCUAACUCUGUGCCAGCAGCAGCGGUAAUACAGAGACCUCAAGCGUUAUCCGGAAUCAUUGGGCGUAAAGCGUACCGAUAGGUGGUUUUACAAGUCAGAAGUGAAAUCUCUCAGCUCAACUGGGAGACUGUCUUUUGAAACUGUAAAACUAGAAGGGCAAAGAGGAAGCUGGAACGAACGGUGUAGUAGUGAAAUGCGUUGAUAUCGUUCGGAACRCCAAUAGCGUAGGCAGGCUUCUGGGUGCCACUUGACACUGCUAGGACGAAAGCGUGGGUAGCGAAUGGGAUUAAAUACCCCAGUAGUCCACGCUUGUAAACGAUGAUGAUUCUGUCCUAGAGAGUAUCGACCCUCUUUAGUACCAUAGCUAACGCGUUAAAUCAUCCGCCUGGGAAGCCCGGCCGCAAGGCUAAAACUCAAAGGAAUUGACGGGGACCUGCACAAGCGGUGGAGCAUGUGGUUUAAUUCGACGGUAAGCGAGGAACCUUACCAAGGCUUGACAUGUAGCUGCAUCCCUCAGAAAUGAGGGCGCCUUCGAGGGUGCUACACAGGUGCUGCACGGUUGUCGUCAGCUCGUGCCGUGAGGUGUUCACUUAAGUGUGAAAACGAGCGCAACCCCUACGGUGAGUUACAAGUGUCUCACAGAACUGCCCGCGUUUAAGCGGGAGGAAGGUGGGGAUGACGUCAAAUCAGCGUGGCUCUUACGCC
Molecule: ribosomal RNA, 910 nt
Filed under: uncultured bacterium
Lineage: Bacteria
Description: bacterial SSU rRNA
Rfam family: Bacterial small subunit ribosomal RNA
Source: RNAcentral